RNAcentral lists this ribosomal RNA (527 nucleotides) under Cladosporium cladosporioides. RNAcentral describes it as "partial 18S ribosomal RNA". The stretch from base 162 to 315 matches the Rfam family "5.8S ribosomal RNA". The record is from RNAcentral. Lineage: Eukaryota; Fungi; Ascomycota; Dothideomycetes; Cladosporiales; Cladosporiaceae.
UCAUUACAGUGACCCCGGUCUAACCACCGGGAUGUUCAUAACCCUUUGUUGUCCGACUCUGUUGCCUCCGGGGCGACCCUGCCUUCGGGCGGGGGCUCCGGGUGGACACUUCAAACUCUUGCGUAACUUUGCAGUCUGAGUAAACUUAAUUAAUAAAUUAAAACUUUUAACAACGGAUCUCUUGGUUCUGGCAUCGAUGAAGAACGCAGCGAAAUGCAGUAAGUAAUGUGAAUUGCAGAAUUCAGUGAAUCAUCGAAUCUUUGAACGCACAUUGCGCCCCCUGGUAUUCCGGGGCUUAUGCCUGUUCGAGCGUCAUUUCACCACUCAAGCCUCGCUUGGUAUUGGGCAACGCGGUCCGCCGCGUGCCUCAAAUCGACCGGCUGGGUCUUCUGUCCCCUAAGCGUUGUGGAAACUAUUCGCUAAAGGGUGCUCGGGAGGCUACGCCGUAAAACAAACCCAUUUCUAAGGUUGACCUCGGAUCAGGUAGGGAUACCCGCUGAACUUAAGCAUAUCAAUAAGCGGAGGAA